UUUGGAGUUGGUUACACCAACAAAAAUGUAAAAUGAAGAAAAAAAUAUUUGGGGUGUUCAGGCUUCCUGAAGGUAAUACCCGGGUAUUAGAUUUCAAGGCUAGGGUAAGGUUUAAGGUUUUUGGUGUUAGGGUUAAAAUCACUGUCCAAAACCUUUGUAGGAACUCUUUUCCAACCUUUUGGAGUUAGUUAGACCAAAAAAUAUGAAAAAAGAAAAAAAUAUUAUUGGGGGUUUUCGGGCUCCCUGAAAGUAAUACCCGUGUAUUAGGUUUUGGGACUAGGGUAAGGUUUAAGGUUUUUGGCGUUAGGGUUGAAAUCACUGUCCAAAACCUUUGUAGGAACUCUUUUCCAACCUUUUGGAGUUAGUUAGACCAAAAAAAAAAAGAAAAAUGAAAAAAAAAUAUUUGGGGUGUUCAGGCUUCCUAAAAGUAAUACCCGGGUAUUAGGUUAUGGGGCUAGGGUAAGGUUUAAGGUUUUUGGCGUUAGGGUUGAAAUCACUGUCCAAAACCUUUGUAGGAACUCUUUUUCAACCUUUUGGAGUUAGUUAGACCAAAAAAAAAUGAAAAAUGAAAAAAAAAUAUUUGGGGUUUACGGGCUUCCUGAAUGUAAUACCCGGGUAUUAGAUUUUAAGGCCAGGGUAAGGUUUAAGUUUUUUGGCGUUAGGGUUAAAAUCACUGUCCAAAACCUUUGUAGGAACUCUUUUCCAACCUUUUGGAGUUAGUUAGACCAAAAAAAAAAGAAAAAUGAAAAAAAAAUAUUUGGGGUGUUCAGGCUUCCUAAAAGUAAUACCUGGGUAUUAGGUUAUGGGGCUAUGGUAAGGUUUAAGGUUUUUGGCGUUAGGGUUAAAAUCACUGUCCAAAACCUUUGUAGGAACACUUUUCCAACCUUUUGGAAUUAGAUAAACCAAAAAAAAUGAAAAAUGAAAAAAUAUGUAUUUGGGGUUUUCGGGCUUCCUGAAUGUAAAACCCGGGUAUUAGAUUUUAAGGCUAGGGUAAGGUUUAAGUUUUUUGGCGUUAGGGUUAAAAUCACUGUCCAAAACCUUUGUAGGAACUCUUUUCCAACCUUUUGGAGUUAGUAAGACCACAAAAAGAAAGAAAAAUAAAAAAAUAUAUAUUUGGGGUUUCCCGGCUUCCUAAAUGUAAUACCCGGGUAUUAGAUUUUAAGGCCAGGGUAAGGUUUAAGUUUUUUGGCGUUAGGGUUAAAAUCACUGUCCAAAACCUUUGUAGGAACUCUUUUCCAACCUUUUGGAGUUAGUUAGACCAAAAAAAAAAGAAAAAUGAAAAAAAAAAUAUUUGGGGUGUUCAGGCUUCCUGAAGGUAAUACCCGGGUAUUAGAUUUCAAGGCUAGGGUAAGGUUUAAGGUUUUUGGUGUUAGGGUUAAAAUCACUGUCCAAAACCUUUGUAGGAACUCUUUUCCAACCUUUUGGAGUUAGUUAGACCAAAAAAUAUGAAAAAAGAAAAAAAUAUUAUUGGGGGUUUUCGGGCUCCCUGAAAGUAAUACCCGUGUAUUAGGUUUUGGGACUAGGGUAAGGUUUAAGGUUUUUGGCGUUAGGGUUAAAAUCACUGUCCAAAACCUUUGUAGGAACUCUUUUCCAACCUUUUGGAGUUAGUUAGACCAAAAAAAAAAGAAAAAUGAAAAAAAAAUAUUUGGGGUGUUCAGGCUUCCUAAAAGUAAUACCCGGGUAUUAGGUUAUGGGGCUAGGGUAAGGUUUAAGGUUUUUGGCGUUAGGGUUGAAAUCACUGUCCAAAACCUUUGUAGGAACUCUUUUUCAACCUUUUGGAGUUAGUUAGACCAAAAAAAAAUGAAAAAUGAAAAAAAAAAUAUUUGGGGUUUACGGGCUUCCUGAAUGUAAUACCCGGGUAUUAGAUUUUAAGGCCAUGGUAAGGUUUAAGUUUUUUGGCGUUAGGGUUAAAAUCACUGUCCAAAACCUUUGUAGGAACUCUUUUCCAACCUUUUGGAGUUAGUUAGACCAAAAAAAAAGAAAAAUGAAAAAAAAAUAUUUGGGGUGUUCAGGCUUCCUAAAAGUAAUACCCGGGUAUUAGGUUAUGGGGCUAUGGUAAGGUUUAAGGUUUUUGGCGUUAGGGUUAAAAUCACUGUCCAAAACCUUUGUAGGAACACUUUUCCAACCUUUUGGAAUUAGAUAAACCAAAAAAAAAAUGAAAAAUGAAAAAAUAUGUAUUUGGGGUUUUCGGGCUUCCUGAAUGUAAAACCCGGGUAUUAGAUUUUUUAGGCUAGGGUAAGGUUUAAGUUUUUUGGCGUUAGGGUUAAAAUCACUGUCCAAAACCUUUGUAGGAACUCUUUUCCAACCUUUUGGAGUUAGUUAGACCACAAAAAGAAUGAAAAAUAAAAAAAUAUAUAUUUGGGGUUUACCGGCUUCCUAAAAGUAAUACCCGGGUAUUAGAUUUUAAGGCCAGGGUAAGGUUUAAGUUUUUUGGCGUUAGGGUUAAAAUCACUGUCCAAAACCUUUGUAGGAACUCUUUUCCAACCUUUUGGAGUUAGUUAGACCAAAAAAAAAAGAAAAAUGAAAAAAAAAAUAUUUGGGGUGUUCAGGCUUCCUGAAGGUAAUACCCGGGUAUUAGAUUUCAAGGCUAGGGUAAGGUUUAAGGUUUUUGGCGUUAGGGUUAAAAUCACUGUCCAAAACCUUUGUAGGAACUCUUUUCCAACCUUUUGGAGUUAGUUAGACCAAAAAAUAUGAAAAAAGAAAAAAAUAUUAUUGAGGGUUUUCGGGCUCCCUGAAAGUAAUACCCGUGUAUUAGGUUUUGGGACUAGGGAAAGGUUUAAGGUUUUUGGCGUUAGGGUUAAAAUCACUGUCCAAAACCUUUGUAGGAACUCUUUUCCAACCUUUUGGAGUUAGUUAGACCAAAAAAAAAAAAGAAAAAUGAAAAAAAAAUAUUUGGGGUGUUCAGGCUUCCUAAAAGUAAUACCCGGGUAUUAGGUUAUGGGGCUAGGGUAAGGUUUAAGGUUUUUGGCGUUAGGGUUGAAAUCACUGUCCAAAACCUUUGUAGGAACUCUUUUUCAACCUUUUGGAGUUAGUUAGACCAAAAAAAAUGAAAAAUGAAAAAAAAAAUAUUUGGGGUUUACGGGCUUCCUGAAUGUAAUACCCGGGUAUUAGAUUUUAAGGCCAGGGUAAGGUUUAAGUUUUUUGGCGUUAGGGUUAAAAUCACUGUCCAAAACCUUUGUAGGAACUCUUUUCCAACCUUUUGGAGUUAGUUAGACCAAAAAAAAAAGAAAAAUGAAAAAAAAAUAUUUGGGGUGUUCAGGCUUCCUAAAAGUAAUACCUGGGUAUUAGGUUAUAGGGCUAUGGUAAGGUUUAAGGUUUUUGGCGUUAGGGUUAAAAUCACUGUCCAAAACCUUUGUAGGAACUCUUUUCCAACCUUUUGGAGUUAGUUAGACCAAAAAAAAAUGAAAAAUGAAAAAAAAAUAUUUGGGGUUUUCGGGCUUCCUGAAAGUAAUACCCGGGUAUUAGAUUUUGGGCUAGGGUAAGGUUUAAGUUUUUUGGCGUUAGGGUUAAAAUCACUGUCCAAAACCUUUGUAGGAACUCUUUUCCAACCUUUUGGAGUUAGUUAGACCAAAAAAAAAGAAAAAAAAAAAAAAUAUAUUUGGGGUUUUCAGGCUUCCUGAAUGUAAUACCCGGGUAUUAGAUUUUAAGGCCAGGGUAAGGUUUAAGGUUUUUGGCGUUAGGGUUAAAAUCACUGUCCAAAACCUUUGUAGGAACUCUUUUCCAACCUUUUGGAGUUAGUUAGACCAAAAAAAAAGAAAAAUGAAAAAAAAAAUAUUUGGGGUGUUCAGGCUUCCUGAAGGUAAUACCCGGGUAUUAGAUUUCAAGGCUAGGGUAAGGUUUAAGGUUUUUGGCGUUAGGGUUAAAAUCACUGUCCAAAACCUUUGUAGGAACUCUUUUCCAACCUUUUGGAGUUAGUUAGACCAAAAAAUAUGAAAAAAGAAAAAAAAUAUUAUUGGGGGUUUUCGGGCUCCCUGAAAGUAAUACCCGUGUAUUAGGUUUUGGGACUAGGGAAAGGUUUAAGGUUUUUGGCGUUAGGGUUAAAAUCACUGUCCAAAACCUUUGUAGGAACUCUUUUCCAACCUUUUGGAGUUAGUUAGACCAAAAAAAAAAAAGAAAAAUGAAAAAAAAAUAUUUGGGGUGUUCAGGCUUCCUAAAAGUAAUACCCGGGUAUUAGGUUAUGGGGCUAGGGUAAGGUUUAAGGUUUUUGGCGUUAGGGUUGAAAUCACUGUCCAAAACCUUUGUAGGAACUCUUUUUCAACCUUUUGGAGUUAGUUAGACCAAAAAAAAAUGAAAAAUGAAAAAAAAAAUAUUUGGGGUUUACGGGCUUCCUGAAUGUAAUACCCGGGUAUUAGAUUUUAAGGCCAGGGUAAGGUUUAAGUUUUUUGGCGUUAGGGUUAAAAUCACUGUCCAAAACCUUUGUAGGAACUCUUUUCCAACCUUUUGGAGUUAGUUAGACCAAAAAAGAAAGAAAAAUGAAAAAAAAAUAUUUGGGGUGUUCAGGCUUCCUAAAAGUAAUACCUGGGUAUUAGGUUAUGGGGCUAUGGUAAGGUUUAAGGUUUUUGGCGUUAGGGUUAAAAUCACUGUCCAAAACCUUUGUAGGAACACUUUUCCAACCUUUUGGAAUUAGAUAAACCAAAAAAAAAAUGAAAAAUGAAAAAAUAUGUAUUUGGGGUUUUCGGGCUUCCUGAAUGUAAAACCCGGGUAUUAGAUUUUUUAGGCUAGGGUAAGGUUUAAGUUUUUUGGCGUUAGGGUUAAAAUCACUGUCCAAAACCUUUGUAGGAACUCUUUUCCAACCUUUUGGAGUUAGUUAGACCACAAAAAGAAUGAAAAAUAAAAAAAUAUAUAUUUGGGGUUUACCUGGCUUCCUGAAUGUAAUACCCGGGUAUUAGAUUUUAAGGCCAGGGUAAGGUUUAAGUUUUUUGGCGUUAGGGUUAAAAUCACUGUCCAAAACCUUUGUAGGAACUCUUUUCCAACCUUUUGGAGUUAGUUAGACCAAAAAAGAAAGAAAAAUGAAAAAAAAAUAUUUGGGGUGUUCAGGCUUCCUAAAAGUAAUACCUGGGUAUUAGGUUAUGGGGCUAGGGUAAGGUUUAAGGUUUUUGGCGUUAGGGUUAAAAUCACUGUCCAAAACCUUUGUAGGAACUCUUUUCCAACCUUUUGGAGUUAGUUAGACCAAAAAAGAAAGAAAAAUGAAAAAAAAAUAUUUGGGGUGUUCAGGCUUCCUAAAAGUAAUACCUGGGUAUUAGGUUAUGGGGCUAGGGUAAGGUUUAAGGUUUUUGGCGUUAGGGUUAAAAUCACUGUCCAAAACCUUUGUAGGAACUCUUUUCCAACCUUUUGGAGUUGGUUACACCAAAAAAAAUGUAAAAUGAAAAAAAUAUAUAUUUGGGGUGUUCGGGCUUCCUGAAUGUAAUACCCGGGUAUUAGAUUUUAAGGCCAGGGUAAGGUUUAAGUUUUUUGGCAUUAGGGUUAAAAUCACUGUCCAAAACCUUUGUAGGAACAUGUUUCAGACCUUAUUGAGUUAGUUAGACCAAAAAAAAAAAAAAAAGGAACAAGAAAAAUAUAUGGGGUUUUCGGGCUUCCUGAAGGUAAUACCCGGGUAUUAGGUAAUGGGGCUAGGGUAAGGUUUAAAUGUUUUUGGAGUAAGGGUUAAAAACUACUGUCCAAAACCUUUGUAGGAACUCUUUUCCAACCUUUUGGAGUUAGUUAGACCAAAAAUAAACAAAAAAUGAAAAAAAAAUGUUUGGGGUGUUCGGUCUUCCUGAAGGUAUUAGAUUAUGGGGCUAGGGAAAGGUUUAAUGUUUUUGGUGUUAGGGUUAAAAUCACUGUCCAAAACCUUUUUAGGAACAUAUUUCAGACCUUAUGGAGUUAGUUACACCAAAAAAAAAAUUGUAAAAUGAAAAAGAAAUAUUUGGGGAGUUCGGGCUUCCUGAAGGUAAUACCCAGGUAUUAGGUUAUGGGGCUAGGGUAAGGUUUAAGGUUUUUGGCGUUAGGGGUAAAAUCACUGUCCAAAACCUUUGUAGGAACUCUUUUUUCAACCUUUUGAAGUUAGUUAGACCAAAAAUAAAAGAUAAAUGAAAAAAAAAAUAUUUGGGGUUUUCGGGCUUCCUGAAUGUAAUACCCGGGUAUUAGAUUUUAAGGCCAGGGUAAGGUUUAAGUUUUUUGGCGUUAGGGUUAAAAUCACUGUCCAAAACCUUUGUAGGAACUCUUUUCCAACCUUUUGGAGUUAGUUAGACCAAAAAAAAAAGAAAAAUGAAAAAAAUAUUAUUUGGGGUGUUCAGGCUUCCUAAAAGUAAUACCUGGGUAUUAGGUUAUGGGGCUAUGGUAAGGUUUAAGUUUUUUGGCGUUAGGGUUAAAAUCACUGUCCAAAACCUUUGUAGGAACUCUUUUCCAACCUUUUGGAGUUGGUUACACCAAAAAAAAUGUAAAAUGAAAAAAAAAAAUAUUUGGGGUGUUCGGGCUUCCUGAAAGUAAUACCCAGGUAUUAGAUUUUAAGGCCAGGGUAAGGUUUAAGGUUUUUGGCGUUAGGGUUAAAAUCACUGUCCAAAACCUUUGUAGGACCACUUUUCCAACCUUUUGGAGUUAGUUUGACCAAAAAAAAAAGAAAAAUGAAAAAAAAAUAUUUGGGGUGUUCAGGCUUCCUAAAAGUAAUACCCGGGUAUUAGGUUAUGGGGCUAGGGUAAGGUUUAAGGUUUUUGGCGUUAGGGUUGAAAUCACUGUCCAAAACCUUUGUAGGAACUCUUUUCCAACCUUUUGGAGUUAGUUAGACCAAAAAAAAAAAGAAAAAUGAAAAAAAAAUAUUUGGGGUGUUCAGGCUUCCUAAAAGUAAUACCUGGGUAUUAGGUUAUGGGGCUAUGGUAAGGUUUAAGUUUUUUGGCGUUAGGGUUAAAAUCACUGUCCAAAACCUUUGUAGGAACUCUUUUCCAACCUUUUGGAGUUGGUUACACCAAAAAAAAUGUAAAAUGAAAAAAAAAAAUAUUUGGGGUGUUCGGGCUUCCUGAAAGCAAUACCCAGGUAUUAGAUUUUAAGGCCAGGGUAAGGUUUAAGGUUUUUGGCGUUAGGGUUAAAAUCACUGUCCAAAACCUUUGUAGGACCACUUUUCCAACCUUUUGGAGUUAGUUUGACCAAAAAAAAAAAAAAGAAAAAUGAAAAAAAAAUAUUUGGGGUGUUCAGGCUUCCUAAAAGUAAUACCCAGGUAUUAGGUUAUGGGGCUAUGGUAAGGUUUAAGUUUUUUGGCGUUAGGGUUAAAAUCACUGUCCAAAACCUUUGUAGGAACUCUUUUUCAAUCUUUUGGAGUUAGUUAGACCAAAAAAAAAAAAAAAGAAAAAUGAAAAAAAAAUAUUUGGGGUGUUCAGGCUUCCUAAAAGUAAUACCCGGGUAUUAGGUUUUGUGGCUAGGGUAAGGUUUAAGGUUUUUGGCGUUAGGGUUGAAAUCACUGUCCAAAACCUUUGUAGGAACUCUUUUCCAACCUUUUGGAGUUGGUUACACAAAAAAAAAUGUAAAAUGAAAAAAAAAAAUAUUUGGGGUGUUCGGGCUUCCUGAAAGUAAUACCCAGGUAUUAGAUUUUAAGGCCAGGGUAAGGUUUAAGGUUUUUGGUGUUAGGGUUAAAAUCGCUGUCCAAAACCUUUGUAGGAACACUUUUCAAACCUUUUGGAAUUAGAUAAACCAAAAAAAAAUGAAAAAUGAAAAAAUAUAUAUUUGGGGUUUUCGGGCUUCCUGAAUGUAAGGGUAUUAGAUUUUAAGGCUAGGGUAAGGUUUAAGUUUUUUGGCGUUAGGGUUAAAAUCACUGUCCAAAACCUUUGUAGGAACUCUUUUCCAACCUUUUGGAGUUGGUUACACCAACAAAAAUGUAAAAUGACAAAAAAAUAUUUGGGGUGUUCAGGCUUCCUAAAAGUAAUACCCGAUUAGGUUAUGGGGCUAUGGUAAGGUUUAAGGUUUUUGGCGUUAGGGUUAAAAUCACUGUCCAAAACCUUUGUAGGAACUCUUUUUCAACCUUUUGGAGUUAGUUAGACCAAAAAAAAAAUGAAAAAUGAAAAAAAAAAUAUUUGGGGUGUUCAGGCUUCCUGAAUGUAAUACCCGGGUAUUAGAUUUUAAGGCCAGGGAAAGGUUUAAGUUUUUUGGCGUUAGGGUUAAAAUCACUGUCCAAAACCUUUGUAGGAACUCUUUUCCAACCUUUUGGAGUUAGUUAGACCAAAAAAUAUGAAAAAAGAAAAAAAUAUUAUUGGGGGUUUUCGGGCUCCCUGAAAGUAAUACCCGGGUAUUAGGUUAUGGGGCUAUGGUAAGGUUUAAGUUUUUUGGCGUUAGGGUUAAAAUCACUGUCCAAAACCUUUGUAGGAACUCUUUUCCAACCUUUUGGAGUUAGUUAGACCAAAAAAUAUGAAAAAAGAAAAAAAUAUUAUUGGGGGUUUUCGGGCUCCCUGAAAGUAAUACCCGGGUAUUAGGUUAUGGGGCUAUGGUAAGGUUUAAGUUUUUCUGCGUUAGGGUUAAAAUCACUGUCCAAAACCUUUGUAGGAACUCUUUUCCAACCUUUUGGAGUUAGUUAGACCAAAAAAAAAUGAAAAAUGAAAAAACAAUAUUUGGGGUUUUUGGGGUUCCUGAAUGUAAUACCCGGGUAUUAGAUUUUAAGGCUAGGGUAAGGUUUAAGUUUUUUGGCAUUAGGGUUAAAAUCACUGUCCAAAACCUUUGUAGGAACUCUUUUCCAACCUUUUGGAGUUAGUUAGACCAAAAAAUAUGAAAAAAGAAAAAAAUAUUAUUGGGGGUUUUCGGGCUCCCUGAAAGUAAUACCCGGGUAUUAGGUUAUGGGGCUAUGGUAAGGUUUAAGUUUUUUGGCGUUAGGGUUAAAAUCACUGUCCAAAACCUUUGUAGGAACUCUUUUCCAACCUUUUGGAGUUAGUUAGACCAAAAAAAAAUGAAAAAUGAAAAAACAAUAUUUGGGGUUUUUGGGGUUCCUGAAUGUAAUGUAUUAGAUUUUAAGGCUAGGGUAAGGUUUAAGUUUUUUGGCAUUAGGGUUAAAAUCACUGUCCAAAACCUUUGUAGGAACUCUUUUCCAACCUUUUGGAGUUGGUUAGACCAACAAAAAUGUAAAAUGAAGAAAAAAAUAUUUGGGGUGUUCAGGCUUCCUGAAGGUAAUACCAGGGUAUUAGGUUAUGGGACUAGGGAAAGGUUUAAGGUUUUUGGCGUUAGGGUUAAAAUCACUGUCCAAAACCUUUGUAGGAACUCUUUUCCAACCUUUUGGAGUUAGUUAGACCAAAAAAAAAAGAAAAAUGAAAAAAAAAAUAUUUGGGGUUUUCGGGCUUCCUGAAUGUAAUACCCGGGUAUUAGAUUUUAAGGCUAGGGUAAGGUUUAAGUUUUUUGGCAUUAGGGUUAAAAUCACUGUCCAAAACCUUUGUAGGAACUCUUUUCCAACCUUUUGGAGUUGGUUACACCAACAAAAAUGUAAAAUGAAAAAAAAAUAUUUGGGGUGUUCGGGCUUCCUGAAGGUAAUAACCGGGAAUUAGGUUAUGGGGCUAUGGUAAGUUUUAAGGUUUUUGGCGUUAGGGUUAAAAUCACUGUCCAAAACCUUUGUAGGAACUCUUUUCCAACCUUUUGGAGUUAGUUAGACCAAAAAAAAAAGAAAAAUGAAAAAAAAGAUAUUUGGGGUGUUCAGGCUUCCUAAAAGUAAUACCUGGGUAUUAGGUUAUGGGGCUAUGGUAAGGUUUAAGGUUUUUGGCGUUAGGGUUAAAAUCACUGUCCAAAACCUUUGUAGGAACACUUUUCCAACCUUUUGGAGUUGGUUAGACCAAAAAAAAAGAAAAAUGAAAAAAAAAUAUUUGGGGUUUUCGGGCUUCCUGAAUGUAAUACCCGGGUAUUAGAUUUUAAGGCUAGGGUAAGGUUUAAGUUUUUUGGCAUUAGGGUUAAAAUCACUGUCCAAAACCUUUGUAGGAACUCUUUUCCAACCUUUUGGAGUUGGUUACACCAAAAAAAAUGUAAAAUGAAAAAAAUAUAUAUUUGGGGUGUUCGGGCUUCCUGAAAGUAAUACCCAGGUAUUAG
Xyrichtys novacula (pearly razorfish) is the source of this 10023-nucleotide non-coding RNA. The record is from the annotation of a GenBank genome assembly. NCBI's taxonomy places the organism in Eukaryota, Metazoa, Chordata, Actinopteri, Labriformes, Labridae.